UCUGAGAUCAGGGGGCCAGUGUGGUUGGGUUCCGUUGAAGGCUCUCUUCCCAGCUUGCAGCUAACCAGAGAACAUGCAGUCUAUGAUUGCCCAGAGGAGUAUUUGAUUAAACAUCUACCUUGUCACAGAGAUAAACAACGAGCUGUCCUCGGCCUCUGGAGACUAGCCGGAGGACAUGAGGGUACAGCCAUUUGGAAUAAAUGGAACAAAAGAUGAGUAAAAGCACUGCUCAAAAUACUACAAAAUAUUGCAAGAAGAAAUUUCAAUAGAGCUUUAAAAAUGGAGGACAGUGGAGAGAUAUGCUAUGUCUCUAGGUUGGAAGAAUCAAUGUGUAAA
Molecule: non-coding RNA, 336 nt
Organism: Microcebus murinus (gray mouse lemur)
Lineage: Eukaryota; Metazoa; Chordata; Mammalia; Primates; Cheirogaleidae
Source: RefSeq, a predicted model, not a curated record